This 21-nucleotide non-coding RNA is filed under the name Caenorhabditis elegans. Lineage: Eukaryota; Metazoa; Nematoda; Chromadorea; Rhabditida; Rhabditidae. The record is from RNAcentral.
UAACCCAUAAUUCUGCACAAG